Molecule: ribosomal RNA, 232 nt
Filed under: uncultured bacterium
Lineage: Bacteria
Description: partial 16S ribosomal RNA
Rfam family: Bacterial small subunit ribosomal RNA
Source: RNAcentral
CGGACGGGUGAGUAAUGCUUGGGAAUCUAGCUUAUGGAGGGGGAUAACUACGGGAAACUGUAGCUAAUACCGCGUAAUAUCGAAAGAUUAAAGUGUGGGACCUUCGGGCCACAUGCCAUAAGAUGAGCCCAAGUGGGAUUAGGUAGUUGGUGAGGUAAAGGCUCACCAAGCCGACGAUCUCUAGCUGGUCUGAGAGGAUGACCAGCCACGCUGGGACUGAGACACGGCCCAG